This 253-nucleotide ribosomal RNA is filed under the name uncultured bacterium. RNAcentral describes it as "partial 16S ribosomal RNA". It matches the Rfam family "Bacterial small subunit ribosomal RNA", at positions 524 to 776 of the family's 1533-position model. The record is from RNAcentral.
UACGGAGGGAGCUAGCGUUGUUCGGAAUUACUGGGCGUAAAGCGCGCGUAGGCGGCUUUGUAAGUUAGAGGUGAAAGCCCGGGGCUCAACCCCGGAACUGCCUUUAAAACUGCAUCGCUUGAAUCCGGGAGAGGUGAGUGGAAUUCCGAGUGUAGAGGUGAAAUUCGUAGAUAUUCGGAAGAACACCAGUGGCGAAGGCGGCUCACUGGUCCGGUACUGACGCUGAGGUGCGAAAGCGUGGGGAGCAAACAGG